Vombatus ursinus (common wombat) is the source of this 1313-nucleotide long non-coding RNA. The record is from Ensembl. NCBI's taxonomy places the organism in Eukaryota, Metazoa, Chordata, Mammalia, Diprotodontia, Vombatidae.
GCACAAUUAUGCCAAAGUACUGUGGAAAGAUCCCCUUACUAACCAGUGGCAGGGUCCCGACCCUGUUCUUAUUUGGGGUCGGGGUUCGGUCUGUAUAUAUAUUAAAGAAAAACAAUCUGCUCGCUGGCUUCCUGAGAGGCUUGUAAAGCAAGUUGAUUCCUGUGAAAUGGCUUCUCUGCCUCCAGUUAACCUUCCUUCCAGGGAGGACAAACCUCUCUGAGAAAUAUUUCUUUUCUUUAUCUACAGGAAAUGCUUGGAAAACGAUCACCCCUACGCUGGUGCCUCCUGGCUGUCCUGAGGGUCUGCCUUGCUGGUUUUGACGCCCCGGCCGGCAACGAUCUCCUCGCCUCCCUUUUUGGGCCACCCUGUGACUGCCGUGGAGGGUAUACACGGGUAACACCGCAGCGGUUCUCUUACUCCAACGACUGCAAUGAAUACACCGCCUAUCUCACCUAUCGACCAUCCACCGGUGGGGGAUUUAAGCAACGGUGGGAGUGUGUUGCCAAACCCCGAGUCAUUCCCUCUCUGCCUGGGUCCCCUGGUCCCUGCCCCUCCCCCUGUCGCUACUAUCAAGCCAUUCAUUCCCUUUGCUAUAACAGCGUCCAGCAGUGUUCUUCUAAUAAUAAGGUUUAUUUGACGGCAGUUCUACAGCAAGCCUAUGCAGGAACCUUUGGUGGGGAAACCUCCGCCACUCUCCAGGGACAUACUAACAAAUAUGCCCAGGCGUCUUGUUCGUCUGCCGAUGUUGGCCACGAUGUCUGUUGGCCCGAACGUGCACCCCUACAUGUAUCAGACGGAGGGGGCCCUUCUGACAGAGCCAGAGAACAUGAGGUCCAGCAGCACAUUGAGGAACUCAUUCGGGCCCAAUUCCCCUCCCUCCAUUAUCAUCCUCUUGUACGUCCCCGGACUCACAGAUUGAGUCUCGAUGAUCAGAUGUCUGUCAUUUUGGAAUCCACUCACCUUAUGCUAAAUAAGACCAAUCCUGUGUUGGCUGCGGACUGCUGGCUUUGCUUGCCCCUCGGUACUCCCAUUCCUAUGGCGUUACCCCCCCUUGGUAACCUUGCUCCUGCCGAAAAUCCUUCCCUUCCGGUAAAUUGUUCCCUAGGCCCCCCUUUUAGGAUUCAACCGAUCCCUUUGAAUCAGUCACUCUUUGUAGCCCCCUGCUUUGAGGGUACCACUCCCAAUGCCUCUGUCUCCAUUGAUGUGGGUUUUCUCCCUCAUGUGAAUUGUUCCUCUGUCCUUCGUACUAGCAGUUUCCUGUGUCCCCCUCUAGGCCAUGUUUUUCUCUGUGGAGGGAAUAUGGCGUUCCCAGC